Long non-coding RNA from Sinocyclocheilus rhinocerous, 135 nucleotides. RefSeq lists it as uncharacterized. The record is from RefSeq and is a predicted model, not a curated record. The transcript has 2 exons. NCBI's taxonomy places the organism in Eukaryota, Metazoa, Chordata, Actinopteri, Cypriniformes, Cyprinidae.
GCCAAUCACGUGCGCUCACUAGUUUCAGUCUCCUGAGCUGCGCGAGUAUGACUGAUGAUCUUCAUUUCGCAGAGAUGUCAGUGAUCUAAAACGAUCAAGGACUGGAGACCACCACAAAAAAAAAAAAAAGCCAAA